Molecule: unclassified non-coding RNA, 204 nt
Filed under: plant metagenome
Description: partial contains small subunit ribosomal RNA and internal transcribed spacer 1
Rfam family: Eukaryotic small subunit ribosomal RNA (bases 1-48)
Source: RNAcentral
AAAGUCGUAACAAGGUUUUCCGUAGGUGGACCUGCGGAAGGAUCAUUAGUGAAUAUUAGGGCGUCUACUUGUAGAGCCCUGACCUCCACUUUUUCAACUCUGUGCAUUUAUUUGGCGGAAUAGGAACGAAAGUUCCCGUUCUGCGGCUUACUUUUUAAAACACUAGUACAAGCAUGUAACGAAAUAUCGAAAACAAAAAGAAAA